This 492-nucleotide ribosomal RNA is filed under the name uncultured bacterium. Its description in RNAcentral is "partial 16S ribosomal RNA". It matches the Rfam family "Bacterial small subunit ribosomal RNA", at positions 30 to 507 of the family's 1533-position model. The record is from RNAcentral.
AUUGAACGCUGGCGGCAUGCUUUACACAUGCAAGUCGAACGGUAACAGGCCUUCGGGUGCUGACGAGUGGCGAACGGGUGAGUAAUGCAUCGGAACGUGCCCAGAGGUGGGGGAUAACGCAGCGAAAGCUGUGCUAAUACCGCAUGUGAUCUGAGGAUGAAAGCGGGGGACCAGGCAGCAAUGUUUGGCUUCGCGCCUUUGGAGCGGCCGAUGUCAGAUUAGGUAGUUGGUGGGGUAAAGGCCUACCAAGCCGACGAUCUGUAGCUGGUCUGAGAGGACGACCAGCCACACUGGGACUGAGACACGGCCCAGACUCCUACGGGAGGCAGCAGUGGGGAAUUUUGGACAAUGGGCGCGAGCCUGAUCCAGCAAUGCCGCGUGCGGGAAGAAGGCCUUCGGGUUGUAAACCGCUUUUGUACGGAACGAAAAGGCUCUGGCUAAUACCUGGGGCUGAUGACGGUACCGUAAGAAUAAGCACCGGCUAACUACGUG